AUAGCUAUUACAGAGUUCAGGUUCAAUGAGUAGACCCAAACAUGAAAGUCAGUUACAGAACUAAAUACUCCUUUGAUAUCCAGAAUUCAUUGUUCAGUGUGAGUUUUGAUAUUUAUAAGAAGAAAUAGA
Mus musculus (house mouse) is the source of this 129-nucleotide small nucleolar RNA. RefSeq annotates it as small nucleolar RNA SNORA40. Lineage: Eukaryota; Metazoa; Chordata; Mammalia; Rodentia; Muridae. The record is from RefSeq and is a predicted model, not a curated record. The transcript has a single exon.